This 1044-nucleotide long non-coding RNA is filed under the name Felis catus (domestic cat). RNAcentral's name for it is "lncRNA (ENSFCAG00000047288.1)". Lineage: Eukaryota; Metazoa; Chordata; Mammalia; Carnivora; Felidae. The record is from RNAcentral.
CCAGGCUGCGUGCCUUCCACCGUGGGCUUGCUGGCUAGGAAGUGGGGGAGUUUUAGUCUCCGUUCAGAUUGCGUGAUUGCGUACCCUGUUUUCCUGACACCCCAAACACCCCAAACACCCCAAACACCCCAAACGCGCAGAGUUCAGAUUUCUCCCCACGCACCCGGGCUGCCAAAGGCGUGUCACACGCUGGCUAGGAGCAACUCGGCCUCAGUCACCAGCCGUGACGUGGGGGCUGGCGGUGGGCUGCGCAAGCUGGAAGCCCAGACAGUGUGCCCAGGUCAUCCUCGCCAGACCUCCGCCCGGGCCAAGGCAGAGGAGUGGCAAGAGAGACGGGUCCCAGGGUGGUGGCAGGCUGAAGUCCGGGGCACCGGGGAGACCUCCUCCCACUGUCCCCUCACCCCAAGUCUGGGCCGGCGCUGCCAGUGGCUGGGGUCUGGGGCACCUCCUCCCGCGGGUUUGAGACCCUUGUGGUUUCUCUGGGCCCGGUCUCAGCGUGGCAGCUCCGGGUCACCCCUCACCACCACUUUGCAGCUGUGCUCCCGCAGCCCAGGCUGGGCGGUCGUCCCCGCUUGCAGAGGGUCGGGGUGCAGGGUGCCAGCUCACGGAGCAAGCGUGUUUGGGUCAUUUCGGGCUGAGCGCGGCCGGGGUAGCAACUCCACUCCAUCAGUAGCGGGAAGCGAGCUGCGCCAGUUGCGAGACUGUCGCUGCCGCCGCCGCCUCUAUUGGGCCGCUGGUGACAUUGGGAGGAGACCGCUUGGAACGAGCGGAGGAGGAGGAAGAGGAGCAGGGAGGGUGGGGGUGGGGGGAGAAAGUAGCAAUUGUGCCAGGGGGCGUGUGAGCAGCCGGAGAGGCGGCCGCGCUGGUGACAACUUCUCCGGGGCGCGCGCGGCGGGCGGGAGGGAGGGAGGGUUGGGAGCGAGCGCGGAGCGCGGCCGGAGCCGGGCGCCUGGGGGAGCCGCGGGAGCCUCGGGGAGCCGCGGCCCGCGCCCUGCGCCGCCGCCGCCUGCUCGCUUCCUCCGGGUUCUCAGCUCCGGGUGCUGA